AGAGUUUGAUCMAYUGGCUCAGGAUGAACGCUGGCGGCAUGCCUAAUACAUGCAAGUCGAACGAAGAGAAGUAAAAAGCUUGCUUUUUAUGGAACUUAGUGGCGAACGGGUGAGUAACACGUAGGUAACCUGCCCAUAUAACUGGGACAACCAUUGGAAACGAUGGCUAAAACCGGAUAGGUARCUGGGAGGCAUCUUCUAGUUAUUAAAGUAGCUAAGGCUAUGGAUAUGGAUGGACCUGCGGCGCAUUAGCUAGUUGGUGAGGUAACGGCUCACCAAGGCGAUGAUGCGUAGCCGACCUGAGAGGGCGAACGGCCACAUUGGGACUGAGACACGGCCCAAACUCCUACGGGAGGCAGCAGUAGGGAAUUUWCGUCAAUGGAGGGAACUCUGAACGAGCAAUGCCGCGUGUGUGAAGAAGGUCUUCGGAUUGUAAAGCACUGUUGUAAGAGAAAAACGGCACUAGGAGGGAAUGACUAGUGAGUGAUGGUAUCUUACGAGGAAGCCACGGCUAACUACGUGCCAGCAGCCGCGGUAAUACGUAGGUGGCAAGCGUUAUCCGGAAUGAUUGGGCGUAAAGGGUGCGCAGGCGGUUCAUUAAGUCUAAAGUAAAAGCCAGCAGCUCAACUGCUGUAAGCUUUGGAAACUGAUGAACUAGAGUACAGGAGAGGGCAGUGGAAUUCCAUGUGUAGCGGUAAAAUGCGUAGAUAUAUGGAGGAACACCAGUGGCRAAGGCGGCUGCCUGGCCUGGYAACUGACGCUGAGGCACGAAAGCGUGGGGAGCAAAUAGGAUUAGAUACCCUGGUAGU
RNAcentral lists this ribosomal RNA (809 nucleotides) under uncultured bacterium. Its description in RNAcentral is "bacterial SSU rRNA". It matches the Rfam family "Bacterial small subunit ribosomal RNA", at positions 8 to 794 of the family's 1533-position model. The record is from RNAcentral.